This 410-nucleotide ribosomal RNA is filed under the name uncultured bacterium. RNAcentral's name for it is "bacterial SSU rRNA". It matches the Rfam family "Bacterial small subunit ribosomal RNA", at positions 509 to 916 of the family's 1533-position model. The record is from RNAcentral.
CAGCAGCCGCGGUAAUACGAACCGUGCGAACGUUAUUCGGAAUCACUGGGCUUAAAGCGCGUGUAGGCGGAUGGGAACGUCGGAGACUGAAAGCCCCCGGCUCAACCGGGGAAGUGGUGCCGAAACGACCCGUCUGGAGGGACGUAGGGGGAUCUGGAACUUCCGGUGGAGCGGUGAAAUGCGUUGAGAUCGGAAGGAACGCCCGUGGCGAAAGCGAGGUCCUGGACGUCUGCUGACGCUGAGACGCGAAAGCUAGGGGAGCAAACGGGAUUAGAUACCCCGGUAGUCCUAGCCGUAAACGAUGGACACUAGGUGUUGGCGGUAUCAACCCCGCCAGUGCCGAAGCUAACGCAUUAAGUGUCCCGCCUGGGGAGUACGGCCGCAAGGCUAAAACUCAAAGGAAUUGACGG